Molecule: transfer RNA, 68 nt
Filed under: Metoecus cf. javanus JL-2021a
Lineage: Eukaryota; Metazoa; Arthropoda; Insecta; Coleoptera; Ripiphoridae
Description: tRNA-Met
Source: RNAcentral
AAAAAGAUAAGCUAAAUAAGCUACUAGGUUCAUACCCUAUUUAUGAGAGCCCCCCCUUUCUCUUUUUA